This 472-nucleotide ribosomal RNA is filed under the name uncultured organism. RNAcentral describes it as "partial 16S ribosomal RNA". It matches the Rfam family "Bacterial small subunit ribosomal RNA", at positions 332 to 796 of the family's 1533-position model. The record is from RNAcentral.
UACACUCCUACGGGAGGCAGCAGUGGGGAAUAUUGCACAAUGGGCGCAAGCCUGAUGCAGCCAUGCCGCGUGUAUGAAGAAGGCCUUCGGGUUGUAAAGUACUUUCAGCGGGGAGGAAGGCGAUAAGGUUAAUAACCUUGUUGAUUGACGUUACCCGCAGAAGAAGCACCGGCUAACUCCGUGCCAGCAGCCGCGGUAAUACGGAGGGUGCAAGCGUUAAUCGGAAUUACUGGGCGUAAAGCGCACGCAGGCGGUCUGUCAAGUCGGAUGUGAAAUCCCCGGGCUCAACCUGGGAACUGCAUUCGAAACUGGCAGGCUAGAGUCUUGUAGAGGGGGGUAGAAUUCCAGGUGUAGCGGUGAAAUGCGUAGAGAUCUGGAGGAAUACCGGUGGCGAAGGCGGCCCCCUGGACAAAGACUGACGCUCAGGUGCGAAAGCGUGGGGAGCAAACAGGAUUAGAAACCCUGGUAGUCC